GAUGAAGAACGUAGCGAAAUGCGAUACCUGGUGUGAAUUGCAGAAUCCCGUGAACCAUCGAGUUUUUGAACGCAAGUUGCGCCCGAAGCCAUUUGGUUGAGGGCACGUCUGCCUGGGCGUCACAUAUCGUUGCCCGAUGCCUAUUGCACUGUGAUAGGAAAUUCUAGGGCGAAAGAUGGCUUCCCGUGAGCGUUGUUGCCUCGCGGUUGGUUGAAAAUUGAGUCCUUGGUAGGGUGUGCCAUGAUAGAUGGUGGUCGAGUUUGCACGAGACCGAUCAUGUGUGCGCUCCCCAAAAUAUGGACUCUUUGACCCCACACGCGUCUUUUGACGCUCAUGACGAGACCUCAGGUCAGGCGGGGCUACCCGCUGAGUUUAAGCAUAUCAAUAAGCGGAGGA
RNAcentral lists this unclassified non-coding RNA (396 nucleotides) under soil metagenome. Its description in RNAcentral is "partial contains 5.8S ribosomal RNA, internal transcribed spacer 2, and large subunit ribosomal RNA". The stretch from base 1 to 122 matches the Rfam family "5.8S ribosomal RNA", at positions 35 to 154 of the family's 154-position model. The record is from RNAcentral.